This 454-nucleotide ribosomal RNA is filed under the name uncultured Parabacteroides sp. RNAcentral's name for it is "partial 16S ribosomal RNA". It matches the Rfam family "Bacterial small subunit ribosomal RNA", at positions 341 to 792 of the family's 1533-position model. Lineage: Bacteria; Pseudomonadati; Bacteroidota; Bacteroidia; Bacteroidales; Tannerellaceae. The record is from RNAcentral.
ACGGAAGGCAGCAGUGAGGAAUAUUGGUCAAUGGGCGGAAGCCUGAACCAGCCAUCUCGCGUGCAGGACUACGGCCCUACGGGUCUUAAACUGCUUUUAUGGGGGGAUAAAGUCGGGCAUUCGUGUCCGUUUGCAGGUACCCCAUGAAUAAGGAUCGGCUAACUCCGUGCCAGCAGCCGCGGUAAUACGGAGGAUCCGAGCGUUAUCCGGAUUUAUUGGGUUUAAAGGGUGCGCAGGCGGCCCGUUAAGUCAGCGGUGAAAUGUCGGGGCUCAACCCGGGCACUGCCGUUGAAACUGGGGGGCUUGAGUACGGAUGAGGUCGGCGGAAUGUGACGUGUAGCGGUGAAAUGCUUAGAUAUGUCACAGAACCCCGAUUGCGAAGGCAGCUUACCAGCAUACAACUGACGCUGAGGCACGAAAGCGUGGGUAUCAAACAGGAUUAGAUACCCUGGUA